Amaranthus tricolor (Joseph's coat) is the source of this 583-nucleotide long non-coding RNA. RefSeq lists it as uncharacterized. Lineage: Eukaryota; Viridiplantae; Streptophyta; Magnoliopsida; Caryophyllales; Amaranthaceae. The record is from RefSeq and is a predicted model, not a curated record. The transcript is spliced from 3 exons.
UCUGAUUCUCUCCCUAAAAACCUAAAAACCCUUAAUCCUAAUUCUCUGAUACUCAGCAGCGCCGUCCCCUAACCCCUUCCCUUUUUUUCAUUCUCUCUCUAAAUCCCGCGCCUAAUCCCUGCCGCUCCUCUCCAGCCAGUUCGCCACCGGCCCACCGCCACUCCUCUCCAGCCGGUCCAACCGUCCAAAUUUUGUUGUUAGGGUUUUGUUUCUUCGGACGGAGCUGCAGUUUUCCACUCAUUUCACUGUACACUAAGUUUGGUGGAGCAGUUCCUUACAGAUUAUUGAAAGGCGGUGUCGCAUUGAGGACUAGGAACAGGAGAUCUAAGGUGGUGAUGGAAGAGGAGGAAGAAGAUGAAAGUGAUGAAAUGAGUUAUACUUCUGAGAAAAUUAAAGAAAAAUGAUGAAAUGAGUUAUACUUUUGCAAUUUCUUAUGCAUAACUAAAAUUUGGAAAAGACUUUUUGUGUAGUUAGGAUUAUUGAUGUUUAUAUUAUUGGUAGGGAAAAAAUGUAAUGGAUCUAUUUUAAAUUUCGUCUAAACUAUUAAAUGAAAUGAAAGUGGUUUAUCAAUUUCAUAGGUUAA